RNAcentral lists this ribosomal RNA (594 nucleotides) under uncultured euryarchaeote. Its description in RNAcentral is "bacterial SSU rRNA". It matches the Rfam family "Archaeal small subunit ribosomal RNA", at positions 762 to 1355 of the family's 1478-position model. The record is from RNAcentral. Lineage: Archaea; Methanobacteriati; Methanobacteriota.
GCGAGCAAGGUGUUGCACAUACUACGAGUGUGUGCAGUAUCGAAACGAAGGUGUUAAGCUCGCCGCCUGGGAAGUACGGUCGCAAGACUGAAACUUAAAGGCAUUGGCGGGGGAGCACUACAACGAGUGCGGCGUGCGGUUUAAUCUAACUCCAUAAUACGACUCACUAUAGGGGCGACGGCAGAAUGAAAGUCAGAUUAAAGGUCUUACUUAACGAGCCGAGAGGUAGUGCAUGGCCGUCGUAAGCUCGUGCCGUGAGGUGUCCAGCUAAGUCUGGAAACGAGCGAGACCUGUAUCUACAAUUGCUAACAUGUUCUUUUGAAUGAAUGAGCACAUUGUAGAAACUGCCCUUGUAAAAGGGAGGAAGGUGCAGGCGACGAUAGGUCUGUAUGCUCCGAAUCUCCUGGGCUACACGCGCGCAACAAUGGUAAGGACAAUGGGCUGCUACUCCGAAAGGAGACGCUAAUCCUCGAAACCUUAUCCUAGUUCAGAUUGAGGAUUGUAACUCAUCCUCAUGACGCUGGAAUUCGUAGUAAUCAGAAAUUAUCAGUUUCUGGUGAAUAUGUCCCUGCUCCUUGCACACACCGCCCGUCA